UACGUAGGGUGCAAGCGUUAUCCGGAAUUAUUGGGCGUAAAGAGCUCGUAGGCGGUUUGUCGCGUCUGCCGUGAAAGUCCGGGGCUCAACUCCGGAUCUGCGGUGGGUACGGGCAGACUAGAGUGAUGUAGGGGAGACUGGAAUUCCUGGUGUAGCGGUGAAAUGCGCAGAUAUCAGGAGGAACACCGGUGGCGAAGGCGGGUCUCUGGGCCGUAACUGACGCUGAGGAGCGAAAGCGUGGGGAGCGAACAGG
RNAcentral lists this ribosomal RNA (253 nucleotides) under uncultured bacterium. RNAcentral describes it as "partial 16S ribosomal RNA". It matches the Rfam family "Bacterial small subunit ribosomal RNA", at positions 524 to 776 of the family's 1533-position model. The record is from RNAcentral.